UACGUAGGGCGCAAGCGUUGUCCGGAAUUAUUGGGCGUAAAGAGCUCGUAGGCGGUCCGUUAAGUCGGAAGUGAAAUCUCAAGGCUCAACCUUGAAAUCGCUUUCGAUACUGGCGGACUUGAGGCAGGUAGGGGAAGGUGGAAUUCCUGGUGUAGCGGUGAAAUGCGCAGAUAUCAGGAGGAACACCGGUGGCGAAGGCGGCAUCCUGGACCAAUUCUGACGCUGAGGAGCGAAAGCCAGGGGAGCAAACGGG
Molecule: ribosomal RNA, 253 nt
Filed under: uncultured bacterium
Lineage: Bacteria
Description: partial 16S ribosomal RNA
Rfam family: Bacterial small subunit ribosomal RNA
Source: RNAcentral